AGUGAACGCUGGCGGCAGGCCUAACACAUGCAAGUCGAACGGCAGCACAAGAGAGCUUGCUCUCUGGGUGGCGAGUGGCGGACGGGUGAGGAAUGCAUCUGAAUCUCCUCAUUUGUGGGGGAUAACUCCGGGAAACCGAGCUUAAUACCGCAUACGACCUACGGGUGAAAGCUCGGGAUCUUCGGACCUUCCUCAUAUGGCUGAGCCGAGGCUGGAUUAGCUAGUAGGUGGGGUAAAGGCCCACCAAGGCCACGAUCCAUAGCUGGUCUGAGAGGAUGAUCAGCCACACUGGAACUGAGACACGGCCCAGACUCCUACGGGAGGCAGCAGUGGGGAAUAUUGGGCAAUGGGCGCAAGCCUGAUCGAGCCAUGCCGCGUGUGUGAAGAAGGCCUUCGGGUUGUAAAGCACUUUUAUUAGGAAAGAAAAGCAGCCGGUUAAUACCCGGUUGUCAUGACGGUACCCAAACAAUAAGCACCGGCUAACUUCGUG
Molecule: ribosomal RNA, 490 nt
Filed under: uncultured bacterium
Lineage: Bacteria
Description: partial 16S ribosomal RNA
Rfam family: Bacterial small subunit ribosomal RNA
Source: RNAcentral